RNAcentral lists this ribosomal RNA (483 nucleotides) under uncultured bacterium. Its description in RNAcentral is "SSU rRNA". It matches the Rfam family "Bacterial small subunit ribosomal RNA", at positions 26 to 518 of the family's 1533-position model. The record is from RNAcentral.
AGAGCGAACGCUGGCGGCAGGCCUAAUACAUGCAAGUCGAACGGAUCCUUCGGGAUUAGUGGCGGACGGGUGAGUAACACGUGGGAACGUGCCCUUUGGUUCAGAACAACUCAGGGAAACUUGAGCUAAUACCGCAUACGACCUACGGGUGAAAGCAGGGGAUCGCAAGACCUUGCGUUAUUGGAGCGGCCGAUGUCAGAUUAGCUUGUUGGCGGGGUAAAAGCCCACCAAGGCGACGAUCUGUAGCUGGUCUGAGAGGACGACCAGCCACACUGGGACUGAGACACGGCCCAGACUCCUACGGGAGGCAGCAGUGGGGAAUUUUGGACAAUGGGCGCAAGCCUGAUCCAGCCAUGCCGCGUGCGGGAAGAAGGCCUUCGGUUGUAAACCGCUUUUGUCAGGGAGAAACGCUCCGGAUUAAUACCUCGGAGUAAUGACGGUACCUGAAGAAUAAGCACCGGCUAACUACGUGCCAGCAGCCGC